ACCAACCAAAGGUCUCAUCUGGAAGAGUAGUUCCAAUAGGUCCAUGGUCUGAUCAAUAAUUUAGGUUCAGGUUCCUGGGGGACAUUAAAGUGAUUACAAUCUGAGCAUGUGGACUUCUGGCCUUCUCAACUCAUCCUGCAGAAACCACCUUUCAGCCAUAUGCUGUCCUUGAUGCCAAGCUGAAGGCCACUGGAAAUGUCAGACCUAAGAUUAUUGAAAACACAGAUUUGGACUGUCUGGGAAUUUGGCAAAGGUUGCUCUGCAGUGUGAUCUCAAUUCAUUUGGCAACUGGUAUAGCACAGUCUGAAACGAAGUUUGCUUAAUCUGUCCUCAAACCUGAGUGU
This 344-nucleotide long non-coding RNA is filed under the name Anser brachyrhynchus (Pink-footed goose). RNAcentral describes it as "lncRNA (ENSABRG00000021983.1)". Lineage: Eukaryota; Metazoa; Chordata; Aves; Anseriformes; Anatidae. The record is from RNAcentral.